RNAcentral lists this non-coding RNA (104 nucleotides) under bovine gut metagenome. Its description in RNAcentral is "THF riboswitch". It matches the Rfam family "THF (Tetrahydrofolate) riboswitch aptamer". Rfam says of the family: THF riboswitch presents a pseudoknot that joins P1-P2 and the loop of P3 and two THF binding. The record is from RNAcentral.
GAGAGUAGAGCGUACGCGUCGGGCCUUGCCCGGUAGUGCCAUUGGAUGGGAGGUUGCCAAUGGACGAAACAGCUUUUGCUGUACGGUGUGCGCUUGCAGCCGCU